AAAAUCACAUAAAUUAAUUUGGGGUUCAACGAAUCCCGAUGUUGCAUUUCUCCGCCAGCGACCAAACACAUCUGAAUUCUCAUCUCUUAAAUUUUCUCGUCAAAGUUUUACAAUCCCAAACACUUUUUCUUCUGGUGAAGUGUUAUGUUCGAUUGGGUUACAAUUUGAUUUGUGUACUCAUCAGAUCUAUGUGCAUUUUGAAUUCCUCGCCCAUUUUCAGUUGUAAUAUGGGUUUUUGGGGAAACAGAAGGUCAAUUUCAGUGAGGAGUGAGAUGGAUCUGUGAUUUCUUGAUCUUGAUAACAUGGAGGCCAGGCGCUGUGCUAGAGAGGGAAAUUAGCAUCAUUUUUGUAAUGGAGUUGUUGCAAUGGAUUACCUCGGUGGGCUUUCAGAAGGCCUUCCUUCAUGGUUACAUACCAAGCUUUGACAGCGUGUUGAUGACGUCAUUGAGCAUUACUCAAAAUUUAAGACUGCCUAUGUUGUCAUUUUUUACAAACAUGAACCCCGUUUACAGACUGUCCUGGAGUUGCUGAAUGCCACAAAAGAGAUAGAGGGACUACUAGAAAAGACCUCCUUAGCACCACCUUCGUUACCAAGGGACCCACAACAAUAGAGAGGAGAAGAAGAAACAUGAAGAAAGCGAAGUAAAGGAAGAAAAAGAGAAAAUUAGUAUGUGCUUUGAUGGAGUGAUGAAGCGAGUGAUAUAUAGUGAGGGAAGCUAGCAUGCAUGGCUUAGCACAUAAUUCACACUAGUAGAAAGGUGACUUUUUCUCCCACUGUAUUAUAAUGUGAUUAUAUGUAAUUGUUACAAGAAUCAAAUAUUAUGCAUUAAAUUUAAUGGAGAGUUGUCUAUAAAAUAGUACUACUUUUAAACA
Molecule: long non-coding RNA, 873 nt
Organism: Solanum pennellii
Lineage: Eukaryota; Viridiplantae; Streptophyta; Magnoliopsida; Solanales; Solanaceae
Exons: 4
Source: RefSeq, a predicted model, not a curated record